Molecule: ribosomal RNA, 1323 nt
Filed under: Triticum aestivum (bread wheat)
Lineage: Eukaryota; Viridiplantae; Streptophyta; Magnoliopsida; Poales; Poaceae
Description: partial small subunit ribosomal RNA
Source: RNAcentral
AUGGCUCCUCAGCAGGAGAGCAACAAGGACGACGGUGCCGCGACCACGCCGGCGAUGGAGGAGGAAGAGGAGGAGCACCAUCGCCAUGGCGAGCGGCCGCUGCUGUCGGCGUGUGAGCAGGAGGAUGGCAGCAAGCCAUUGCCAUUGCUGGUGAAGAGGAGGAGGAGGAGCAGCAGCCUGAGCAGAUCGUCAAGGUCAGGCGAGCAGGGGCGGGAAGAGGAGGCGCCUGGCCCCCGGUCGCUGUCCUUCUCCAGGCUCUUCAGCAGCUUCAGGAUGAUGGCCGCCUCCUCCACCACCAUGGACAUUGACGAGCUAGCAGCCGCCGAAGACGGAUGCGCAGCUCUCAACCCUCAGCAGCAGUGGAGGAAGCCGGUGUGCCGGACGCAGUCGCUGCCGAUGACGAGCAUCUCCAGGAGGCUCCCCAGCAGGAAGCGGGUGGCGGACUCGAGCUCCCUGCGCCGGUUCCGGCUGUCGUCGGCGGCGCCCGCGCCAUUGCCGGAAUCAGCGUCGCCGCCCUCUUCGCCGUCACCGUCGGCAGAAGAAGGAGGAGAUGGAGAGGAGGUGGGGGAGGAGGAGGCGGUGUGCCGUAUCUGCAUGGUGGCGCUGCUGGAGGAGGAGGAGGAGGAGGAAGGAGGGGCCGGCGACGGCGUGCUGAAGCUGGAGUGCCGGUGCAAGGGCGAGCUGGCGCUGGCGCACCGCCGCUGCGCGCUCAAGUGGUUCGGCAUCAAGGGCAACCCCAACUGCGACGUCUGCGGCCACGACGUCCUCAACCUCCCCGUCACCCUCCGCCGCGUCGCCGCCCCUCCCCCACCACCACCUCCUCCCCUCACCGCCGGCAAUGGCAAUGGCGGCACCAGCCAAGAGGAAGAACAAGAAGCAAGAGAGGGAAGAGGGUUGAGGGGCGUGUGGCGGCAUGGCACGGUGAUCCUGGUGACGGUGAGCAUGCUGGCCUACUUCUGCUUCCUGGAGCAGCUGCUGGUGGGCGACCACGGCAACGCCGCCGCCGCCCUCGCCGUCUCCGUGCCCUUCGCCGUCGUGCUCGGCACCUUCUCCGCGCUCACCACCGCCGGGAUGGCCUCCUCCCGCCGCUACGUGUGGGCAUACUCGGCGCUGCAGUUCCUGCUCGUCGUCCUCUUCACCCACCUCUUCUACCGCUACGUCAACCUCCAGGCCGUCAUCGCCAUCAUCCUCUCCGCCUUCGCCGGCUUCGGCGUCGCCAUCUGCGCCAACGCCAUGCUGCUCCAGGCCGCCCGCUGGAGGGCCGCCGUGGCCGCCCGCCACACCCCACCGCCGUCGUCAGACCUCGACAUCCCUCAGCCAUAG